UGGCGAACGGGUGAGUAACACGUGGGUGAUCUGCCCUGCACUCUGGGAUAAGCCUGGGAAACUGGGUCUAAUACCGGAUAGGACCAUGCUUUAGUGUGUGUGGUGGAAAGUUUUUUCGGUGUAGGAUGAGCCCGCGGCCUAUCAGCUUGUUGGUGGAGUAAUGGCCUACCAAGGCGGCGACGGGUAGCCGGACUGAGAGGUUGGUCGGCCACAUUGGGACUGAGAUACGGCCCAG
RNAcentral lists this ribosomal RNA (235 nucleotides) under uncultured Actinomycetales bacterium. Its description in RNAcentral is "partial 16S ribosomal RNA". It matches the Rfam family "Bacterial small subunit ribosomal RNA", at positions 96 to 334 of the family's 1533-position model. The record is from RNAcentral. Lineage: Bacteria; Bacillati; Actinomycetota; Actinomycetes; Actinomycetales.